UCUCUAAACAAUGGAUGUCUUGGCUCCUCACACGAUGAAGAACGUUGCAUAAUGUGAUAAGUAACUGGAGUUGCGAACAUUGUGACAAGUUAAUCUUUGAAUGCAAAUUGCGCAUACCUGAAUUUAUUCAGAUGCAUAUAUAUUCUAGUACUACA
This 155-nucleotide ribosomal RNA is filed under the name Pentatrichomonas hominis. RNAcentral describes it as "putative 5.8S ribosomal RNA". It matches the Rfam family "5.8S ribosomal RNA". From Rfam's summary of the family: 5.8S ribosomal RNA (5.8S rRNA) is a component of the large subunit of the eukaryotic ribosome. It is transcribed by RNA polymerase I as part of the 45S precursor that also contains 18S and 28S rRNA. Functionally, it is thought that 5.8S rRNA may be involved in ribosome translocation. The record is from RNAcentral. Lineage: Eukaryota; Parabasalia; Trichomonadida; Trichomonadidae.